GCCAGCAGCCAUAUCAUUCUGCAACUCACAGCAGGCAGCCCGCUGUAGCUCAGCAGGUGUGAGCCUGGUCAGUACCUGGGUGGGAGACUCCUGGGAAAGCUAAGGUUGCUGCUGGAA
This 117-nucleotide ribosomal RNA is filed under the name Lepisosteus oculatus (spotted gar). Lineage: Eukaryota; Metazoa; Chordata; Actinopteri; Semionotiformes; Lepisosteidae. The record is from RNAcentral.